RNAcentral lists this ribosomal RNA (237 nucleotides) under uncultured bacterium. RNAcentral's name for it is "partial 16S ribosomal RNA". It matches the Rfam family "Bacterial small subunit ribosomal RNA", at positions 96 to 333 of the family's 1533-position model. The record is from RNAcentral.
CGGCGGACGGGUGAGUAACGCGUGGGUAACCUGCCUCAUACAGGGGGAUAACAGUUAGAAAUGACUGCUAAUACCGCAUAAGACCACAGCACCGCAUGGUGCGGGGGUAAAAACUCCGGUGGUAUGAGAUGGACCCGCGUCUGAUUAGCUAGUUGGUAAGGUAACGGCUUACCAAGGCGACGAUCAGUAGCCGACCUGAGAGGGUGACCGGCCACAUUGGGACUGAGACACGGCCAA